RNAcentral lists this ribosomal RNA (501 nucleotides) under Halalkalibacterium halodurans. RNAcentral describes it as "bacterial SSU rRNA". It matches the Rfam family "Bacterial small subunit ribosomal RNA", at positions 79 to 566 of the family's 1533-position model. The record is from RNAcentral. Lineage: Bacteria; Bacillati; Bacillota; Bacilli; Caryophanales; Bacillaceae.
UUGCUCCUGGAGGUUAGCGGCGAACGGGUGAGUAACACGUGGGCAACCUGCCUGUAAGACUGGGAUAACAUCGAGAAAUCGGUGCUAAUACCGGAUAAUAAAAAGAACUGCAUGGUUCUUUUUUGAAAGAUGGUUUCGGCUAUCACUUACAGAUGGGCCCGCGGCGCAUUAGCUAGUUGGUGGGGUAACGGCUCACCAAGGCGACGAUGCGUAGCCGACCUGAGAGGGUGAUCGGCCACACUGGGACUGAGACACGGCCCAGACUCCUACGGGAGGCAGCAGUAGGGAAUCUUCCGCAAUGGACGAAAGUCUGACGGAGCAACGCCGCGUGAGUGAUGAAGGUUUUCGGAUCGUAAAACUCUGUUGUUAGGGAAGAACAAGUGCCGUUCGAAAGGGCGGCACCUUGACGGUACCUAACGAGAAAGCCACGGCUAACUACGUGCCAGCAGCCGCGGUAAUACGUAGGUGGCAAGCGUUGUCCGGAAUUAUUGGGCGUAAAGC